GGCCCUGUGGUGUCAACACGUGUGGUUGCAAACCUCAAAACGCAGAAUAAAUUCCUGCCGGGGCUU
RNAcentral lists this transfer RNA (66 nucleotides) under Quasipaa boulengeri (spiny-bellied frog). Its description in RNAcentral is "tRNA-Cys". It matches the Rfam family "tRNA". Rfam says of the family: Transfer RNA (tRNA) molecules are approximately 80 nucleotides in length. Their secondary structure includes four short double-helical elements and three loops (D, anti-codon, and T loops). The record is from RNAcentral. Lineage: Eukaryota; Metazoa; Chordata; Amphibia; Anura; Dicroglossidae.